AUUGAACGCUGGCGGCAGGCCUAACACAUGCAAGUCGAACGGUAACAGGAAGCAGCUUGCUGCUUUGCUGACGAGUGGCGGACGGGUGAGUAAUGUCUGGGAAACUGCCUGAUGGAGGGGGAUAACUACUGGAAACGGUAGCUAAUACCGCAUAACGUCGCAAGCCCAAAGAGGGGGACCUUCGGGCCUCUUGCCAUCGGAUGUGCCCAGAUGGGAUUAGCUAGUAGGUGGGGUAACGGCUCACCUAGGCGACGAUCCCUAGCUGGUCUGAGAGGAUGACCAGACACACUGGAACUGAGACACGGUCCAGACUCCUACGGGAGGCAGCAGUGGGGAAUAUUGCACAAAGGGCGCAAGCCUGAUGCAGCCAUGCCGCGUGUAUGAAGAAGGCCUUCGGGUUGUAAAGUACUUUCAGCGGGGAGGAAGGGAGUAAAGUUAAUACCUUUGCUCAUUGACGUUACCCGCAGAAGAAGCACCGGCUAACUCCGUG
This 490-nucleotide ribosomal RNA is filed under the name uncultured bacterium. RNAcentral's name for it is "partial 16S ribosomal RNA". It matches the Rfam family "Bacterial small subunit ribosomal RNA", at positions 30 to 507 of the family's 1533-position model. The record is from RNAcentral.